This 93-nucleotide transfer RNA is filed under the name Deltaproteobacteria bacterium. Its description in RNAcentral is "tRNA-Ser". It matches the Rfam family "tRNA". From Rfam's summary of the family: Transfer RNA (tRNA) molecules are approximately 80 nucleotides in length. Their secondary structure includes four short double-helical elements and three loops (D, anti-codon, and T loops). Lineage: Bacteria; Pseudomonadati; Myxococcota; Myxococcia. The record is from RNAcentral.
GGAGAGGUGUCCGAGUGGUUUAAGGAGCGCGAUUGGAAAUCGCGUGUGGAGCUUAAAUCUCCACCGGGGGUUCGAAUCCCCCUCUCUCCGCCA